CAGCAGCCGCGGUAAUACGGAGGAUCCAAGCGUUAUCCGGAAUCAUUGGGUUUAAAGGGUCCGUAGGCGGUCUUGUAAGUCAGUGGUGAAAGCCCAUCGCUCAACGGUGGAACGGCCAUUGAUACUGCAGGACUUGAAUUAUUGGGAAGUAACUAGAAUAUGUAGUGUAGCGGUGAAAUGCUUAGAGAUUACAUGGAAUACCAAUUGCGAAGGCAGGUUACUACCAAUUGAUUGACGCUGAUGGACGAAAGCGUGGGUAGCGAACAGGAUUAGAUACCCCGGUAGUCCCUGUCUCUUAUCC
This 301-nucleotide ribosomal RNA is filed under the name uncultured bacterium. Its description in RNAcentral is "partial 16S ribosomal RNA". It matches the Rfam family "Bacterial small subunit ribosomal RNA", at positions 509 to 809 of the family's 1533-position model. The record is from RNAcentral.